RNAcentral lists this long non-coding RNA (1949 nucleotides) under Podarcis lilfordi (Lilford's wall lizard). Lineage: Eukaryota; Metazoa; Chordata; Lepidosauria; Squamata; Lacertidae. The record is from RNAcentral.
AACACCACAGCAGUAAAAUCAAUAAAAAUUAACAAGCCUACUUUAAAACACAGAAAAGCUAAAAUAUUAAAAGAGAUUAAAAUUACUUCAGCUUCCUAAGCAUCUGACUAUGCUUGCCUAAACAAGAAUGCUUUUAGCAGGUGCCAGAAAAGAGUCUAGCAAAGGCACGCGCUUUAUUGCAAGAGGCGGGGAGUUCCAAAGGGCAGGUGCUGCCACACUAAACAACGCAGUGCUGGAAAGGGGGCGACAUGCAAGAGGCCAGCCUGGCAGGGUUGUGGAAGGAGGAGCUCCUGGGAGGAAAGGAGGUGCCGUGGAAAUGCCAUUCUGUCAGUAAAGUGCCUCCGCCUCUCACUCCUCCUCCAAACGAGAGCCAGGGGUGUGUGUAAACAUCUAGAGGGAGGGGGGAAAGUAUUUGAUCCCCUUCUAAAUUUGGGUUUUUUGCCCUCUGACGAAGAAAUGCCUAGUCCACAAUAUUAAUGGUCGGUUUAUUGUAGCUGUGAGAGACAGAAUAACAACUGGGAAACCCAGAAGACAAAAGUCAAAGAUUGAUGAGAUUUUUUUUGGGGGGGGGUUCUUGUUCCUACUUUUCUCUCUUUUAUUUAUUCCCAAUAUCAUCCCGAUCUUAAUCCUUUAUCUUAUCUUGACAGCCACUGGCAUGCAACUUUCAUCAUAUUUAACAGAUCUAUAUCUAAAUUAACAUGCAUGAUGAAAAUUGUGCUCUUCUUGUUGUUGUCCAUCAAUUGUUUUCGGUGCAGUCCCUCCUCAGAAGGCCCUAUUUCAUUCCACCAUCUUAUCUUCCAGGACUCUGGGCUGUCUUCCUGCUUUCCUUUGUUUAGUUAAAAUUAAGACACAUGUAAUGUAUUUUAACUGACUGAUAUUUUCCCAAACCGAAGAAUCUUCUGUAAGAGACCACACUGUGCGAUAGAUUUCACAGUUAAUACUUGUUUGGUUCCUCUAGAAUCCAAGCUUGCUCCCCCUGGGCCCUAAGGGAAGAUUACAAAGAUCAAAGAUUCACCUUCACUUUUAUAAAUCCAUAUAUGACAAAAGUCCAUGCAAGCAGAUGUGGUUUCCUGUUCCCCAGUUGUAAUCUGUCGGUUGUCUGCAGCCCUCUUUGAGAGGGACCCAAUUUUCAACCCCGUAUAAAUUAUUUGGUGGGCAAUGAAUGAAUCUUUUCCCACAUGCCAAACACUAAGACGUUGUCUCUCUUGUAUGGAUUCUUUGAUGGGAAUUGAGAUCACCACUCUGACGAAAGCUCUUUCCACAUUCCAAGCACUGAUAGGGUUUCUCCCGUAUUCGUUGAUGGGAAGUGAGCGUCCCCCUUUGACAGAAGCUCUUUCCACAUUCCAAGCACUGGUAGGGUUUCUCCCCUGUAUGAAUUCUUUGAUGGGAAGUGAGAUGACUCUUUCGAUUGAAGCUCUUUCCACACUCCAAGCACUGAUAGGGUUUCUCCCCUGUAUGAAUUCUUUGAUGGGAAGAGAGAUGGGUGCUUUGACUGAAGCUCUUUCCACACUCCAAGCACUGAUAGGGUUUCUCCCUGUAUGAAUUCUUUGGUGGGAAGUGAGUUCACCACUCACACGAAAGCUCUUCCCACAUUCGAAGCACUGAUAGGGUUUCUCCCCUUAUGAAUUCUUUGAUGGGAAGUGAGAUUGGCUCUUUCACUGAAGCUUUUCCCACAUUCGAAGCACUGAUAGGGUUUCUCCCCUGUAUGAAUUCUUCGGUGGGAAGUGAGACCGGUGCUAUGACUGAAGCAUUUUCCACAUUCCAAGCACUGAUAGGGUUUCUCCCCUGUAUGUAUUUGUUGAUGGGAAGUGAGCGUCGCCCUUUGACAGAAGCUCUUUCCACAUUCCAAGCACUGAUAGGGUUUUUCCCCUGUAUGAAUUCUUUGAUGAGAAGUGAGAUGACCCUUUCGAUUGAAGCUCUUUCCACAUUCCAAGCACUGAUAGGGUUUC